RNAcentral lists this ribosomal RNA (253 nucleotides) under uncultured bacterium. Its description in RNAcentral is "partial 16S ribosomal RNA". It matches the Rfam family "Bacterial small subunit ribosomal RNA", at positions 524 to 776 of the family's 1533-position model. The record is from RNAcentral.
UACGUAGGGGGCAAGCGUUGUCCGGAAUCAUUGGGCGUAAAGCGCGUGUAGGCGGCCACGUUAGUCCGCUCUGAAAGCCCGGGGCUCAACCCCGGGAGGCCGUUUGAUACUGCGAGUCUCGAGACCGGAAGAGGUGAGUGGAAUUCCUGGUGUAGAGGUGAAAUUCGUAGAUAUUAGGAAGAACACCAGUGGCGAAGGCGGCUCGCUGGUCCGGUUCUGACGCUGAGGUGCGAAAGCGUGGGGAGCAAACAGG